GGGUCAGUAGGUUGGUCGUGCCACCGGUACGUACUGGUCUCACUGAUUCCUCCUUCCUGAAGAACCGUGGUGCCAUUAAUUUGGUGUUGCGGGGAAACAGGACUGUUACUUUGAAAAAAUUAGAGUGUUUAAAGCAAGCUAACGCUUGAAUACAUUAGCAUGGAAUAAUGAAAUAGGACGAUCGAUCCUAUUUUGUUGGUUUCUAGGAUUGACGUA
This 216-nucleotide ribosomal RNA is filed under the name Glomeromycotina sp. Its description in RNAcentral is "partial small subunit ribosomal RNA". The stretch from base 40 to 216 matches the Rfam family "Eukaryotic small subunit ribosomal RNA", at positions 686 to 864 of the family's 1831-position model. The record is from RNAcentral. Lineage: Eukaryota; Fungi; Glomeromycota.